UUCAGAUUUUUAGUCUCAUUUGAGACCCAUUUUCGACAUAGGAAACAUUCGAUUUGGAAAAUGAUAUCUAAAUAAAAGUUGUAGCUCUUUGAGUUAGCUUUCCAACGCACUUUGAAUUACCUCAAUCAGAUAUCGAGAGAAGUUAUGAUAGAAACACUGAAGGCUGUGCAGUGUCAACCGAACGAAUUUCUGCCUCAUACAGCUCGGGCCGAAGACCGGGGGAAGUUUAGGAGAGAUGGGGAAAGCUAGCAACUGCCGGUCGGGGCGGGGAUAACUUGCUUGAAUGUGGCACAAAAAGAAGAAGAGGCGAAGGAACCCGCGGAGAAGCUUCAUGGCCUGGAUUUUUUGAGUAGCUAAUUCAUAUCUAGGUAGGCGAAGGAAACAAGACAUUACAUUGAUUGUCUGGUCCAGGUCGAUCAAUGGACCGAAACUGCCUGAAAUGAAAAUUCUCGUUUUUCUCUAGAAUUUAAAUAAUUAUUUUCUCAAAGAGCCACCCACGUUUUUGGCAAUAAAAACCCCCACUAAAUUGAAGCAUUUAAUCUCAAACUUAAAUGGCACCCAUGUUUUCUCUCUUAAAUGAAAUUUGACCCUUCAUUUGCUUUAAGUUAUGGGAUAUUUACCUAUAAAUAGAGACCUCAUUUCACUCAUUUUUUCUCACAUCAAAAGUAAGAGCUUUUACAUACUAAAAAAAGAGUUUCCAAGAGAGGAAAAGAGGAAGGAAAACUAUUUUUUCUAGAAGUUUAAGAAGUGUUUUCAAGUAUUUUUCAUAGAAGUUUUGGGUGCUAUCAAGGAGUGUCUUCAAGCAUCAAUUCUUAACGGUUUUCAAACAUCCAAGGAGUGCAUUUCUUUCAACGUCCAAGUUUCAUCCAAGUUUUCAAUCCAAGUUUUUAAAGUUUCAAAAGCAUCAAUCAAGGUAGGUAGAGGUGCAAUGUGUUUAAUCGUGUUAGGUUAUAAGUUUCGAUUCAUGUUAAUGUUUGUAUGUCAAAUGGUACUCCGGUACGGCAUAUCCCUCUAUGUUAAUGGUUGUAUGUCAAAUGGUACUCCGGUACGGCAUAUCCCUCUAUGUUAAUGGUUGUAUGUAAAAUGGUACUCUGGUACGGCAUACCCCUCUAUGUUGAAGAAAUGUUCGUAUGUCAAACGGUGCCCUCGGAUACAGCAUACCCCUUCAUGUCAAAUGGUACCUCCGGAUAUGGCAUGUAUGAAAAGUUAUAAAGUUAAUGUUUUGAAAUGUAUAGCUUAAUCACGAAUGCACCUACACUUAUUGAGUUUUUCAACCCACGGGUUUAAUCUCAUCUCUACAGAUUGAAGGAAUUCUACCUCGGGCAUGGAUGGAAGAGAAGAUGGAGAGUGAUGCAACAAGCCCAUGAAAAUCCGGUAAAUAAGUGAUUUGGAUUUAUUUUUAUGAAAUAUUUUCCAAUGUUAUUUCUUUAAAAUUUUGAAUAACGCAGAAUACGAGAACAAGUUAUGUUUUUUUCAAAUAAAUUACAUUUUGUUGUUUUGAAAAAUGAUUCAAUAUUUUUGUUUAAAGUAUUCGAAAGCUUCCGCUAAAACGUAUACACUUGUUACUAACCCAUCAGUUAAACUAAGUAAAGUAAGUAGCGUUUCGGUCCACUAGCGGUCGAAGCGUUACAGCGUGGUAUCAAAGCAAGGUUUAGCCGAUUUUGUAAACCAAGUCUGUUUUUUUUUUAAAAAAACAAAAGGAAAAUGAAAAGUUUAAGGUAUUCCAUGGCAUCAUGCAUCCAUCCAUCAAUCUCAUCCUAUGGCCCAGGUAUGUUCAUGUUUAAAGUUAAUGAUUAUGUUUAUGUUAUGAUAUUUUGAUAUGAUUUAGAGAUGUGUUAUUUAAAUAUAUGUAAUGGACUUGGGCAAAAGCUAAGGCUUAAAGGGAAUUGCAUGAUAUGAAUGUUUAAAUAUUUGCAUGUUUUCUUUAAGCAAAGAAAAAGUAUGAUGUAUGUGAAAAUGCAACAUAUAUGGCUCGUAGAACGGCUAGGGCAUAUAGAGAAGCAUUGAACUGUAGAAUUGCUAUCCAUUCUUAUGAAAACUAUGUAACUGAUCCGACCCAACCGCUUAGCAAACAUGUGUAUGACAUCUAUGAGAGAUGCAUGACGGCGGUUAAUGCUGGUAUGGAGAUCACGCAUAUUGAGGCCAUAAAUAACCUCAUACACUCCCUCCCACCUCAAUGGGAAGAUAUGGGAGUCACGGUUAGAAAUGAAAUGUUAGAAGGCAACCUAAACCUAUUCGAGUUUGAGAGGUAUUGCCAUGCCCUGAUGGAUUUGUGGGAUGAUGUAAUCCAUGAGGAGCCUGAGGUGGAACCUUUGGCUGAGGAAGAAGAUCCCGAAGAAGAACCCAAGGAUGAUUUAGAGAAUGAUCUUGAGUCUGAGCCACAGGUUGAGAUGGAUAUAGAGUCCGGACCUGAGGCAGAAGACUCCUCCGAAGAUGAAGCUCCACCAAAGAAGAUCCGUAGAACUUAUAGGGAUUAGAUUUAAAUCCUUAUAAUAGUUUCCCUUAUGUGAAGAAAUAAAAUACUAUCUUCUUUGUUUUAGUAUUCGAAGAAUGAAACUAAUAAGACCCAUAUGUUUUGUUUAAAGGAAAUGGCCCGCGCAAACCAAAACUUGAUAAGAGACCUCCUCCGAGCGGUUCAAGACUUAGGCAGGCAAAACCCGAACCAAGCUCAACCCCUACCACUAGCUCCUAAUGUUCCAAACUAUGCUUCAGUGGUCGAGCAAUUUCGAAGGCACAAGCCCCCUACCUUCAGCGGAGCAGCUGAUCCACUUGCAGCCGAGAAGUGGCUUCGCAAGUUGGAGCGUAUAUUCCGAUUGAUAGGGUGCACGGACGCUCAGAAAGUCCAGAGUGCUGAGUUCAUGUUCUCCGAUGAUGCAAGUCACUGGUGGGACUCAAUGUCAAGGACAAGGACCCUUGAGCAACAAGCAGAAUUGACUUGGAAGCAAUUCAAAGGGGAAGUAAUGGACAAGUACUUUCCCCAGUCCUUGAGGGAUCACAAAGAAAGUGAAUUCCUCCAACUCAAGCAAAAGACUAUGUCCCUGACUAAGUAUGAGAGGAAGUUUGAUCAACUUUCAAGGUAUGCUCCGCAUCUGGUGGAUACGGAAGAUAAGAAGGUACGAAGGUUUGAACAAGGGCUGAACUCGGAUAUAAGCAUGAUACUUAUGUCCCAUCGCUUCACCACAUACCAUGAAAUGCUGGAAAGAACUCAUGCUAUUUGGUACCAAAAGACUAGCACCGAACAACAUGGUCAACUGUUUAAUCAACCAGACAAUGGUAACAUGGGAAAGAGGAAAUGGAAUGGCCAGGACAAGGGAAAAGGCAAGUGGCAGAACAAGAAAGCUAAUGGUGGAGCCAAUGCCAACAAAAGCAUUGUGCCAAUUAUUGCGCCCUGUUCUAAGUGUGGAAGGACACAUCGUGGCGAGUGCUUACAAGGGAAAAAUGUCUGUUUCCGAUGUGGCAAGCCAAGACAUAUCAUUAGGGAUUGUCCCACAUACCCAGAAGAAGGAUGAUAACAGCAACCAGAACCAGAAAGGGAAAGCACUAGUUUUUGCAUUGACUCAACAGAAUGCAGAGGAAAACUCUAAUGUCAUAGCAUAUACUCUACUAAUAGCCAAUACACCUGCUUAUGUAUUGUUUGAUUCAGGAGCUACACACUCCUUUGUUUCAACAACUUUUAUGGCUAAAUCUAGUAUUACCUGUGAUAAGUCGGAAGGUACAUUAGAAGUUAGUAUUCCUUCGGGCAACCCUUUGACUACUGUUAGAAUAGCCAAGUCAGUAAGUAUCGAAGUUGAGGGAAAACCAAUGGAAGCGAACCUAUACUUGAUAGAAAUGAAGGAUUUUGAUGUAAUACUAGGCAUGGAUUGGUUAGGUUGUAAUUACGCCACCAUCCAUUGUAAGGAAAUGGAAGUAUCAUUUCAGAAAUCAGGAGGGGAACCAUUUUCGUUCCUUGGAAUGAAGACGAAACCCCUUAUUCGACUAGCAUCGACUUUACAAGCUGAGAAGAUGUUGAGAAAAGAAACAUGUCAAGGAUACCUAGUAAGUAUCUCAGGAGUAAAAUAAGAGACGAUAAGGGUUGAAGAUGUACCAGUAGUACGGGAAUUCGUAGAUGCGUUUCCAGAAGAUCUAUCUGGUAUUCCACCCGAUAGACAAGUGGAAUUCACCAUAGACCCAAUUCCCGGGGCGGCACCAGUAUCUAAGGCUCCAUACCGAAUGGCUCCAAAGGAACUACAAGAAUUAAAGAAGCAAUUGCAAGAACUCCUAGAUAUGGGCUUCAUACGACCAAGCGUAUCUCCAUGGGGUGCGCCGGUGUUGUUUGUAAAGAAGAAAGAUGGAAACAUGAGGAUAUACAUCGAUUAUAGGGAGAGAAAUCGAUUAACCAUCAAGAAUAAGUACCCACUCUCGAGGAUCAAGGAUCUGUUAGAUCAACUGAAAGGAGCUAAGGUAUUUUCCAAGAUCGACUUACGAUCGGGAUACCAUCAACUGAAAGUAGAGACAAAAGAUAUACCUAAGACAGCUUUUAGAACUCGAUAUGGACACUACGAGUUUACGGUGAUGUCGUUUGGGCUAACCAAUGCACCUGCAGUGUCCAUGGACCUGAUGAAUCGAGUGUUUCAUCAAUACUUGGAUAAGUUUGCCAUAGUCUUCAUCGAUGACAUUCUGAUAUAUUCCAAGAGUAAGGAGUAACAUGAAGAACACUUGAGAAUAGCCUUAGAGGUAUUACGCAAGGAGAAGCUGUAUGCCAAAUUCAAGAAGUGCGAGUUUUGGCUUGAACGAGUUGGAUUUCUUGGACAUGUAGUUACUGCCCAAGGGAUUGAAGUAGAUCCAGCAAAAGUAGAAGCAGUAACCAACUGAAAAGCACCAACAAAUGCUAGCGAAGUACGGAAUUUUCUAGGAUUGGCUGCAUAUUAUAGGAGAUUCAUAGAAGGAUUUUCCAAAAUAGCUGGACCAAUGACGCAGCUUACAAGGAAGGGAGUAAAAUCCCAAUGGACGGAAAAAUGCGAACAAAGUUUUCAAAAACUUAAGCAGAAGUUGAUAUCAGUACCUGUAUUAACAAUACCUGAAGGUAUGGAAGGGUUUGUUAUAUACAACGACGCAUCCAAGCGAGGAUUGGGAUGUGUACUAAUGUAGAAUGAAAAAGUGAUAGCCUAUGCUUCAAGACAAUUGAAGAAACAUGAGCAGAACUACCCAACACAUGAUUUAGAACUUGCAGCGGUAGUACACGCUUUGAAGAUAUGGCGACACUAGUAUGGACGGAAGUGUGAUAUCUACACAGAUCACAAAAGUCUCAAGUAUAUCUUUAUACAGAAGGAAUUGAAUAUGCGACAAAGACGAUGGUUGGAAUUAGUGAACGAUUACGACUGCACUAUUCACUACCAUCCAGGUAAGGCUAAUGUUGUGGCCGACGCUCUAAGUAGAAAAUCAAUGGGACAAUUGACAUCACUACCCACCUCUCAAGUGGAGUUAGUCAAGGACUUGGAAAAGUUGCAGAUCAAAGUGGUUACCACACCAGGACAAGUCACUGCUCGUCUAACAGCUUUAAUAAUUCGACCUACUCUUAGAGAUCGAAUUAUAGAAGCACAAAAUAAAGACUCAUUUUUGCAAAAGAUUAAGAAUGAAAUUAGUACCGAUAAGAAAAAGGACUUUGGAGUAGCUAAGGAUCAUGCACUGAUAUUUAGAGGAAGAAUUUGCGUGCCUAAGGAUGAAGCCUUGAAAAACGAGAUAUUGAAAGAAGCUCAUUCCACCCCGUACACCGCACAUCCCGGUGAUACGAAAAUGUAUCGAGAUUUUGGAGAUAUAUUUUGAUGGAAAAAUAUGAAAAGAAGUAUAGGGCUGUACGUGCAGAAGUGCAUGGUAUGUCAAUAGGUUAAGGCAGAACACUAAAAACCAGCUGGAUUGUUAAAUCCACCAGAUAUACCUGAAUGGAAAUAGGAAAAUAUCACGAUGGACUUUGUGGUUGGAUUCCCGAAGUCAGCAAGAGGAAAUAAUGCUAUAUGGGUAGUAGUAGAUCGACUAACGAAGUCAUCUCAUUUUCUUCCAGUGAAAACGACAUUCAGUUUAGACCAAUUGGCACAGUUGUAUAUUAAAGAGGUUGUGAGAUUACACGGUGUACCUGUAUCCAUUGUGUCUGACAGAGACCCAAGGUUCACGUCCAAAUUUUGGAAGUCUACAAGGAGCUAUGGGAACGAAGCUGAACUUUAGUACGGCAUAUCACCCUCAGUCCGAUGGUCAGUCUGAAAGGACCAUCCAAACUUUGGAAGACAUGCUAAGAACAUGUGUUUUGGAUCUAAGGGAUAAUUGGGAAUCAUACUUACCUCUAGUAGAGUUCACUUAUAAUAACAGUUUCCAAACAACUAUUGGAAUGGCACCAUACGAAUCUCUCUAUGGUAGAAGAUGUAGAUCCCCUGUUCAUUGGGAUGAAGUUGGAGAGAAGAAAGUUUUAGGACCAGAAAUAAUUGAAAGGACAGUCCAGGUAAUCGAUAAGAUUCGUGCAAGAAUAAAGGCAGCACAGGAUCGACAAAAGAGCUAUGCAGAUACAAGGAGGAAGGAUUUAGAAUUCCAAGUUGAGGAUAAAGUGUUUCUGAAAGUAGCACUAAUGAAAGGUGUACUUAGAUUUGGAAAGAAAGACAACCUACGACCCCGGUAUAUCGGACCUUUUGAGAUACUUGAUAGAGUCGGAAAUGUGGCUUGCCGACUAGCUUUGCCACCUGAAUUAUCGGCAGUGCACAAUGUGUUCUAUAUAUCGAUGAUAAAGAAGUAUGUACAUGAUUCUAAUCAUGUAGUGAGUUAUCAAACUUUGGAGGUACAGAAAGAUUUGUCGUACGAGAAACUACCGAUCAAGAUAUUGGAUCGAAAAGUGCAUAAACUAAGGAAUAAAGAGAUUCAUCUGGUUAAGUUACAUUGGAAUCAUCACGGCGUAGAAGAAGCCACUUGGGAAAAAGAAGAAGCCUAAGACAAGUAUCCAACACUAUUCGUCCAAUCAGAAGGUAAAUUUCGAGGACGAAAUUUUAAUUAAGGUGUGGGGGAUGUAGAACCCCAAAUAAUUCUAGGCACCUUAGUGGCACUAAGACAUGAAUAUUGGAUGACUAAAGUAUACUUCAGAUUUUUAGUCUCAUUUGAGAUUCAUUUUCGACAUAGGAAACAUUCGAUUUGAAAAAUGAUAUCUAAAUAAAAGUUGUAACUCUUUGAGUUAGGUUUCCAACGUACUUUGAAUUACCUUAAUCGGAUAUCGGGAGAAGAAGUUAUGAUAGAAACACUGAAAGCUGUGCAGCGUCAACCAGACUACAACCGGUCGACCGAAACUGCCUGAAAUGAAAAUUCUCGUUUUUCUCU
Molecule: long non-coding RNA, 7329 nt
Filed under: Olea europaea (common olive)
Lineage: Eukaryota; Viridiplantae; Streptophyta; Magnoliopsida; Lamiales; Oleaceae
Description: long non-coding RNA (OEUR_LNC014770)
Source: RNAcentral